This 304-nucleotide ribosomal RNA is filed under the name uncultured bacterium. Its description in RNAcentral is "bacterial SSU rRNA". It matches the Rfam family "Bacterial small subunit ribosomal RNA", at positions 1081 to 1397 of the family's 1533-position model. The record is from RNAcentral.
GUAGUCCGCACGAGCGCACCCUCAUUUUUAGUUGCCUUAUGGAACUCUAGAAAGACUGCCGGUUAUAAACCGGAGGAAGGCGGGGAUGACGUCAAGUCAGCAUGCCCCUUACACCCUGGGCUACACACGUGCUACAAUGGGUGAGACAAUGAGAUGCAACUCUGCGAAGACAAGCUAAUCUAUAAACUCACUCUAAGUUCGGAUUGUAGGCUGCAACUCGCCUGCAUGAAGUUGGAAUCGCUAGUAAUCGCUGGUCAGCUAUACAGCGGUGAAUUCGUUCCCGGGCCUUGNACACACCGCCCGU